UGGGAAUUUUGCACAAUGGGGGAAACCCUGAUGCAGCGACGCCGCGUGAUUUAGAAGGCCUUCGGGUUGUAAAAAUCUUUUCUAUGGGAAGAAAAUGACAGUACCAUAGGAAUAAGGACCGGCUAAUUACGUGCCAGCAGCCGCGGUAAUACGUAAGGUCCGAGCGUUGUCCGGAAUCAUUGGGCGUAAAGGGUACGUAGGCGGGUAAGCAAGUUAGAAGUGAAAUCCUGUAGCUCAACUACAGUAAGCUUUUAAAACUGCUCAUCUUGAGAUAUGGAAGGGAAAGUGGAAUUCCUAGUGUAGCGGUGAAAUGCGCAGAUAUUAGGAGGAAUACCGGUGGCGAAGGCGACUUUCUGGCCAUAAUCUGACGCUGAGGUACGAAAGCGUGGGUAGCAAACAGG
This 401-nucleotide ribosomal RNA is filed under the name Bacteroidota bacterium. Its description in RNAcentral is "Bacteroidetes bacterium partial 16S ribosomal RNA". It matches the Rfam family "Bacterial small subunit ribosomal RNA", at positions 356 to 776 of the family's 1533-position model. Lineage: Bacteria; Pseudomonadati; Bacteroidota. The record is from RNAcentral.